This 150-nucleotide non-coding RNA is filed under the name Fervidicella metallireducens AeB. Its description in RNAcentral is "RT-14 RNA". It matches the Rfam family "RT-14 RNA". From Rfam's summary of the family: Cloacimonetes, Firmicutes, Proteobacteria. Nearby to self-splicing intron genes The record is from Rfam by way of RNAcentral. Lineage: Bacteria; Bacillati; Bacillota; Clostridia; Eubacteriales; Clostridiaceae.
CUCUACUCUCGUGGUCAGAUGAUAUAUACUCAAGGGUGUAUAUCCAGUACAGAGAGGAUAAAGGGGCUUACUUCCAUGCUAUAAUGCAAAAAAUAUACUUGUUAUGAAUGCCGAGAGUAAUCUUUCAAAGGUAAAAUCUGCAACGCAUAA